CGAGNGGAUGGGCAUGCGGCGCAUUAGCUAGACGGCGGGGUAACGGCCCACCGUGGCGACGAUGCGUAGGGGUUCUGAGAGGAAGGUCCCCCACACUGGUACUGAGACACGGACCAGACUUCUACGGAAGGCAGCAG
RNAcentral lists this ribosomal RNA (137 nucleotides) under uncultured bacterium. RNAcentral describes it as "partial 16S ribosomal RNA". It matches the Rfam family "Bacterial small subunit ribosomal RNA", at positions 218 to 354 of the family's 1533-position model. The record is from RNAcentral.